Molecule: long non-coding RNA, 675 nt
Filed under: Pan troglodytes (chimpanzee)
Lineage: Eukaryota; Metazoa; Chordata; Mammalia; Primates; Hominidae
Description: long non-coding RNA NONPTRT003458
Source: RNAcentral
CAGCAUCUCACAGAGAAGAUACUUGGAUGGGCCACAGGCCAAAACUGGGCCAAAGCCCUGGAGAGGGGGACCUGGCUCAAGGCCACACCACAUUUCCAUGUCAUUUUCCAGUGGCACCAACUGAGCUGGACAGAUGUUCUCACAGAGCUACACAUGCCACAAUCAUCACUAGUUGUGAGAGUCUCCAGUGUUCAUUAAGCCUAUUUUGCUGGAAGUUUAGUCCCUGGAGGAUUAGUCCCUGCCCUUAAGGAGUGCCAAAGAAGACUUUGGAAUCUAAGUCACAUCUCCCCUGCUGCAAUUUUUUCCUCUUGAUAAUCAAGGAAUCUCACUGAUAAAACUCUCAACGAGGAGCAGCUCUCCCCAUGAGCAAGUUCUUGCCUUCAUUGCCAGGGAGGCCCCAGCUAAGGGUAUACUGGGAAAGGAAUCUCUGGGGAGUACCUGGAAGAGGUCAGCUUCUCCUCAAAGGAAGCCUCUCCAGCUGGUGUACUGCAAAGCCUUCCAAGACCAAGUUCCCUCUUCCUGGCCUCUGGAACCAGCCUGUGUGCCAGCGCUGUGUCCCCAGUAACACACAUGAGUCUCUCCCUCAGAAGCCACAGAACGAUGCAGAGAGAGACCAACCCAGGAUUGAUUCUCAGCACUUACUAAUUGUGUGGACAUAACUGCUCUGGACCUCAG